UAGUAUUUAACGAUACUCGAUACCGUCUCACGUAAAUUUUUAGUAUGGAAAAUUUUACAGCGCCUCUAGCGGUCACUCGUGGAACUAAAAUCGCUACCAUGAGUUUACAAUAAAUACGUAUCGAAUAAAAACUCGCUAGCGACUAUUGUUUUAAGCAGUUUCUCAUGUGAAUCGGUACCAUGAGUAAACAAUUUGACAGGUGGUAUCCUAAAAUACCGUUACUACAGUAGUAAAGUAACUCACUAGCCUUUUGUAGGGUGAAAGUGUUUCACGCAAAUCAAU
Aricia agestis (brown argus) is the source of this 282-nucleotide long non-coding RNA. RefSeq lists it as uncharacterized. NCBI's taxonomy places the organism in Eukaryota, Metazoa, Arthropoda, Insecta, Lepidoptera, Lycaenidae. The transcript has 3 exons. The record is from RefSeq and is a predicted model, not a curated record.